UACGUAGGGGGCUAGCGUUGUCCGGAAUCAUUGGGCGUAAAGCGCGUGUAGGCGGUUCGGUAAGUCCGCUGUGAAAGUCGGGGGCUCAACCCUCGAAUGCCGGUGGAUACUGUCGGGCUAGAGUGCGGAAGAGGCGAGUGGAAUUCCUGGUGUAGCGGUGAAAUGCGCAGAUAUCAGGAAGAACACCCGUGGCGAAGGCGGUUCUCUGGGACGGUACUGACGCUGAGACGCGAAAGCGUGGGGAGCGAACAGG
This 253-nucleotide ribosomal RNA is filed under the name uncultured bacterium. RNAcentral's name for it is "partial 16S ribosomal RNA". It matches the Rfam family "Bacterial small subunit ribosomal RNA", at positions 524 to 776 of the family's 1533-position model. The record is from RNAcentral.